UACGUAGGGUGCGAGCGUUGUCCGGAAUUACUGGGCGUAAAGAGCUCGUAGGUGGUUUGUCGCGUUGUUCGUGAAAACUCACAGCUCAACUGUGGGCGUGCGGGCGAUACGGGCAGACUAGAGUACUGCAGGGGAGACUGGAAUUCCUGGUGUAGCGGUGGAAUGCGCAGAUAUCAGGAGGAACGCCGGUGGCGAAGGCGGGUCUCUGGGCAGUAACUGACGCUGAGGAGCGAAAGCGUGGGGAGCGAACAGG
RNAcentral lists this ribosomal RNA (253 nucleotides) under uncultured bacterium. RNAcentral describes it as "partial 16S ribosomal RNA". It matches the Rfam family "Bacterial small subunit ribosomal RNA", at positions 524 to 776 of the family's 1533-position model. The record is from RNAcentral.